GUGUCAGCAGCCGCGGUAAUACGGAGGAUCCGAGCGUUAUCCGGAUUUAUUGGGUUUAAAGGGUGCGUAGGCGGAAAAAUAAGUCAGUUGUGAAAGUUUGCGGCUCAACCGUAAAAUUGCAGUUGAUACUGUUUUUCUUGAGUGUACAUAAGGUAGGCGGAAUUCGUGGUGUAGCGGUGAAAUGCUUAGAUAUCACGAAGAACUCCAAUUGCGAAGGCAGCUUACCGGGGUACAACUGACGCUGAGGCACGAAAGUGUGGGUAUCAAACAGGAUUAGAAACCCUCGUAGUCC
RNAcentral lists this ribosomal RNA (292 nucleotides) under uncultured bacterium. RNAcentral describes it as "partial 16S ribosomal RNA". It matches the Rfam family "Bacterial small subunit ribosomal RNA", at positions 505 to 796 of the family's 1533-position model. The record is from RNAcentral.